This 369-nucleotide unclassified non-coding RNA is filed under the name air metagenome. RNAcentral's name for it is "partial contains small subunit ribosomal RNA, internal transcribed spacer 1, and 5.8S ribosomal RNA". The stretch from base 1 to 46 matches the Rfam family "Eukaryotic small subunit ribosomal RNA", at positions 1786 to 1831 of the family's 1831-position model. The record is from RNAcentral.
AAGUCGUAACAAGGUUUCCGUAGGUGAACCUGCGGAAGGAUCAUCAAUUUAGUUUAAAUUUAACAAAUUUAAAAACAAUAGCUAAAGUUUUUAUAACUUUUAGCAACUGUCAUUUGGGUUCUUUGACAGUUAUUAGUCAUAGGGUUGACUGAAUAUUAAACUUUAACAAUUAUUUAUUUAUAUUAUGUUUUAGGGUUCCAAUUUAUAAUUAAUUAUUGUUUUAUAGUUAUUAAUCAUCGGGUUGAUUAAAUUAGACUAUUUAAUUUUUAUCGUAGGGUCGAUGAUUUUAUCUAAAGUCUUUUUUGCUUAAUUAAGCUUUUGACAAACUUUAAAAGUGACAAACUUUUAACCAUGGAUCUCUAGGCUCUU